UACGUAGGGGGCAAGCGUUGUCCGGAUUUAUUGGGCGUAAAGAGCGUGUAGGCGGUUAUACAGGUCCGUUGUGAAAACUCGAGGCUCAACCUCGAGACGUCGAUGGAAACCGUAUGGCUAGAGUCCGGAAGAGGAGAGCGGAAUUCCUGGUGUAGCGGUGAAAUGCGCAGAUAUCAGGAAGAACACCCGUGGCGAAGGCGGCUCUCUGGGACGGUACUGACGCUGAGACGCGAAAGCGUGGGGAGCGAACAGGAUUAGAUACCCUGGUAGUCCACGCCGUAAACGAUGGGUGCUAGGUGUGGGAGGUGUCGACUCCUCCCGUGCCGCAGCUAACGCAUUAAGCACCCCGCCUGGGGAGUACGGCCGCAAGGCUAAA
This 376-nucleotide ribosomal RNA is filed under the name uncultured bacterium. RNAcentral describes it as "bacterial SSU rRNA". It matches the Rfam family "Bacterial small subunit ribosomal RNA", at positions 524 to 898 of the family's 1533-position model. The record is from RNAcentral.